AUGAGUUACUCGAUCUCACAGCAGGAGUUUGCCACUCUGAUUACCACUCUGUGGCCUAUUUGGUAUGCAAGGCGAAAAGUUAUUCACGAAGGAAUUCUGCAGACACCGUUUGCAACACAUGCAUUCAUAAACAGAUUUAUAUCUGAUCUUGAGUGCCUUGCUUCUCCACCUCCUGCAGCUCGAGUAGCAACCCCGCCACAACCAACCGGCUGGAUACCUCCCCCAGAGGGCCAUGUAAAGAUCGAUUCCAAUGUCGCAGUAUCAAGGUCGGGUCGCUAUGGCGCGGUUGGGGCAAUCUGCCGGGAUGAAUCAGGCAUCUUCCAAGGAGCGUCAGUUUUCGUGUUUGGAAACAUCAGAGAUCCGGAAGUACUUGAAGUUUUGGGCAUCAGAGAAGCCUUAGCUUUAGCUAAUGAUCUAUACUUUCAAAGGGUGUCGAUUGCUUCUGAUUGCAAAGCUGUGGUGGAGGCGAUAGGGAAAGGUUCCUCAUCUGAAUAUGGGGCAAUGGUGCUGGAGAUUAAUCAGUCGUCUGGAGAUUUCAUUUCUUGUAUUUUCUCUCCUGAGUUUAGAACCUCGAAUGUUGAGGCCCACAAUCUUGCAAAGCAUGCUUUAACUCUAGGGACCGGUCGUCAUGUUUGGUUAGGCCACCAUGGAGAUCGUUGUCUUUUCCCUGUAAACAUUGUGACGGGUUAA
This 690-nucleotide ribosomal RNA is filed under the name Triticum aestivum (bread wheat). Its description in RNAcentral is "partial small subunit ribosomal RNA". The record is from RNAcentral. Lineage: Eukaryota; Viridiplantae; Streptophyta; Magnoliopsida; Poales; Poaceae.